CCCUUAGAUGUCCUGGGCCGCACGCGCGCUACACUGAUGCAUUCAACGAGUAUUUCCUUGGCCGAGAGGCCUGGGCAAUCUUUUAAACCUGCAUCGUGAUAGGGAUAGAUUAUUGCAAUUAUUAAUCUUGAACGAGGAAUUCCUAGUAAACGCAAAUCAUCAAUUUGCAUUGAUUACGUCCCUGCCCUUUGUACACACCGCCCGUCGCACCUACCGAUUGAAUGGUCCGGUGAAAUCUCGGGAUUGUGGUCAGUUCACUUUAUUGGGAGUUGGCUGCGAGAACUUGCUUAAACCUUAUCAUUUAGAGGAAGGUGAAGUCGUAACA
Molecule: ribosomal RNA, 325 nt
Filed under: uncultured eukaryote
Lineage: Eukaryota
Description: partial 18S ribosomal RNA
Rfam family: Eukaryotic small subunit ribosomal RNA
Source: RNAcentral